GACGAACGCUGGCGGCGUGCUUAACACAUGCAAGUCGAACGGAAAGGCCCUGCUUUUGUGGGGUGCUCGAGUGGCGAACGGGUGAGUAACACGUGAGUAACCUGCCCUUUACUUUGGGAUAACUUCAUUAAACUGGGGCUAAUACCGGAUAUGAGCUCCUUCUGCAUGGUGGGUGUUGUAAAGUUUCGGCGGUUGGGGAUGGACUCGCGGCUUAUCAGCUUGUUGGUGGGGUAGUGGCUUACCAAGGCUUUGACGGGUAGCCGGCCUGAGAGGGUGACCGGCCACAUUGGGACUGAGAUACGGCCCAGACUCAUACGGGAGGAAGCAGUGGGGAUUAUAGCAAAAUGGGCGGAAGCAGGAAGCAGGAACGCCGCGUGGGGGAUGACGGCCUUCGGGUUGGAAACCGCUUUAGCCUGUGAAGAAGAGUGAGUGACGGUAAUGGGUAAAGAAGCAACGGCUAACUACGUG
Molecule: ribosomal RNA, 468 nt
Filed under: uncultured bacterium
Lineage: Bacteria
Description: partial 16S ribosomal RNA
Rfam family: Bacterial small subunit ribosomal RNA
Source: RNAcentral